Molecule: ribosomal RNA, 260 nt
Filed under: uncultured bacterium
Lineage: Bacteria
Description: partial 16S ribosomal RNA
Rfam family: Bacterial small subunit ribosomal RNA
Source: RNAcentral
GACGAACGCUGGCGGCGUGCUUAACACAUGCAAGUCGAGCGGUAAGGCCCUUUCGGGGGUACGACGAGCGGCGAACGGGUGAGUAACACGUGGGUGACCUGCCCUCCAGCUCUGGGAUAAGCCUGGGAAACCGGGGUACUAAUACUGGAUAUGACUCCAUGACGCAUGUUGUGGGGUGGGAAAGCCUUGUGCGGCUGAGGAUGGGCCCGCGGCCUAUCAGCUUGUUGGUGGGGUGAGGCCUACCAAGGCGACGACGGGUA